RNAcentral lists this unclassified non-coding RNA (402 nucleotides) under Melitaea cinxia (Glanville fritillary). RNAcentral describes it as "misc RNA ENSMCXG00005013548.1". The record is from RNAcentral. Lineage: Eukaryota; Metazoa; Arthropoda; Insecta; Lepidoptera; Nymphalidae.
AUUUAUCAGAAUUAUGAUAUUCUCUAGAUCAAACUGGGUCAACCGUAUUGAACUGCCUAAUCAUGCCACCCGUAGCCGGUUCGACUUGCGUUUGGCGCACUCUUAUUCGUUCUCCCUGGUCUGGUUUCAAACAAUCUAAACACAUGCGCAAGAUACGCCCUAAUAACAUUUUAGCUGGACUUUCUCCGGUUGUGUAAUGUGGUGUGUUCCUAUAAGCUAGUAAGAAACGACAUAACGCGGCAUGUACAUCUACUUUUGCCUUAAAAGCUUUUUUAAUGGUUCUCUUACAUAUUUUACCGCAUUUUCCGCGGCUCCGUUAGAAGCCGGAUGAUAAGGAGCCGAAAAAAAAAUGAUCGCUUCUAUUAUUAUUUAAAUAUUCUUUAUAUUUUACCGCAUUUUCCG